Non-coding RNA from Curvularia clavata, 85 nucleotides. The record is from the annotation of a GenBank genome assembly. NCBI's taxonomy places the organism in Eukaryota, Fungi, Ascomycota, Dothideomycetes, Pleosporales, Pleosporaceae.
GCGAUGAUGGUUUAAGGGUAAAAUCCAGGCUUCCCAUACUCGAUAGAGCUUGCCUGGGCUCCGGGUUCGAGUCCCGGUCAUCGCA